Molecule: ribosomal RNA, 445 nt
Filed under: uncultured bacterium
Lineage: Bacteria
Description: partial 16S ribosomal RNA
Rfam family: Bacterial small subunit ribosomal RNA
Source: RNAcentral
GUAGGGAAUAUUGGGCAAUGGAUGCAAGUCUGACCCAGCCAUCCCGCGUGCCGGAAGAAGGCCCUCAGGGUUGUAAACGGCUUUUGACGGUGAAGAACCGACAGGAUGCGUCCUGUUUUGACGGUAGCCGUUGAAUAAGCACCGGCUAACUCCGCGCCAGCAGCCGCGGUAAUACGGAGGGUGCGAGCGGUGUCCGGAGUUAUUGGGUUUAAAGGGUGCGUAGGCUGGAAGGUCAGUCAGCGGUGAAAAGCUGUCGCGUAACGAUAGUCUUGCCGCAGAUACUUCCUUUCUUGUAUGAGGAGGAGGCCACUGGAACGGAUGGUGUAGCGGUGAAAUGCAUAUAUAUCAUCCAGAACACCGAUUGCGAAGGCAGGUGGCUGUACCUUAAUCGACGCUGAUGCACGAAAGCAUGGGGAGCAAACAGGAUUAGAAACCCUUGUAGUCC